RNAcentral lists this ribosomal RNA (253 nucleotides) under uncultured bacterium. RNAcentral's name for it is "partial 16S ribosomal RNA". It matches the Rfam family "Bacterial small subunit ribosomal RNA", at positions 524 to 776 of the family's 1533-position model. The record is from RNAcentral.
UACAGAGGGUGCUAGCGUUGUUCGGAAUCAUUGGGCGUAAAGGGCGUGUAGGCGGUUUGUUAAGUCUGUCGUGAAAUCCCCGGGCUCAACCUGGGAAUGGCGAUGGAUACUGGCUAGCUAGAGUGUGUCAGAGGAUGGUGGAAUUCCCGGUGUAGCGGUGAAAUGCGUAGAGAUCGGGAGGAACAUCAGUGGCGAAGGCGGCCAUCUGGGACAACACUGACGCUGAAGCACGAAAGCGUGGGGAGCAAACAGG